GAUGAACGCUGGCGGCGUGCCUAAUACAUGCAAGUCGAGCGAACGGACGAGAAGCUUGCUUCUCUGCUGUUAGCGGCUGACGGGUGAGUAACACGUGGAUAACCUACCUAUAAGACUGGGAUAACUUCGGGAAACCGGAGCUAAUACCAGAUAAUAUUUUGAACCGCAUGGUUCAAAAGUAAAAGACGGUCUUGCUGUCACUUAUAGAUGGAUCCGCGCUGCAUUAGCUAGUUGGUAAGGUAACGGCUUACCAAGGCAACGAUGCGUAGCCGACCUGAGAGGGUGAUCAGCCACACUGGAACUGAGACACGGUCCAGACUCCUACGGGAGGCAGCAGUAGGGAAUAUUCCGCAAUGGGCGAAAGCCUGACGGAGCAACGCCGCGUGAGUGAUGAAGGUCUUCGGAUCGUAAAACUCUGUUAUUAGGGAAGAACAUAUGUGUAAGUAACUGUGCACAUCUUGACGGUACCUAAUCAGAAAGCCACGGCUAACUACGUG
RNAcentral lists this ribosomal RNA (497 nucleotides) under uncultured bacterium. RNAcentral describes it as "partial 16S ribosomal RNA". It matches the Rfam family "Bacterial small subunit ribosomal RNA", at positions 28 to 507 of the family's 1533-position model. The record is from RNAcentral.